Molecule: ribosomal RNA, 498 nt
Filed under: uncultured bacterium
Lineage: Bacteria
Description: partial 16S ribosomal RNA
Rfam family: Bacterial small subunit ribosomal RNA
Source: RNAcentral
AUUGAACGCUGGCGGCAUGCCUUACACAUGCAAGUCGAACGGUAACAGGUCUUCGGAUGCUGACGAGUGGCGAACGGGUGAGUAAUACAUCGGAACGUGCCUAGUAGUGGGGGAUAACUACUCGAAAGAGUGGCUAAUACCGCAUGAGAUCUACGGAUGAAAGCAGGGGAUCGCAAGACCUUGUGCUACUAGAGCGGCCGAUGGCAGAUUAGGUAGUUGGUGGGAUAAAAGCUUACCAAGCCGACGAUCUGUAGCUGGUCUGAGAGGACGAUCAGCCACACUGGGACUGAGACACGGCCCAGACUCCUACGGGAGGCAGCAGUGGGGAAUUUUGGACAAUGGGCGAAAGCCUGAUCCAGCAAUGCCGCGUGCAAGAUGAAGGCCUUCGGGUUGUAAACUGCUUUUGUACGGAACGAAAAGCCCCGGGUUAAUACCCUGGGGUCAUGACGGUACCGUAAGAAUAAGCACCGGCUAACAACGUGCCAGCAGCCGCAGUAA